Long non-coding RNA from Rhinichthys klamathensis goyatoka, 523 nucleotides. RefSeq lists it as uncharacterized. The record is from RefSeq and is a predicted model, not a curated record. Lineage: Eukaryota; Metazoa; Chordata; Actinopteri; Cypriniformes; Leuciscidae. The transcript is spliced from 2 exons.
UCAUUAAUUACUCACCCCCAUGCUGUACCAACCCCGUAAGACCUUUGUUCAUCAUCGGAACACAAAUGAAGAUAUUUCUGAUUAAAUUUGACAGCUGGAUCACUGCUACAUAGGCUUCGUAAGGGAAUGAAACUUGACGGCCCAGAAAGUCAUUAAAGAAAAUGUUUAAAUAUUCCAUGUGCCUACAGUGGCUCAACUAUAAGUUUAUCAAGCGACGAGAAUACUUUUUGUGCGAAAAAACCCCAUAAAUAACGACUUUAUUCGACUAUUCCAUUACUUCCUUGUGGGCCUGAGACGAGAGUUCAAGAGAUUUCCACGACGCAUGCGCGAGAACUGAACAAGAAGUAGUAGAAGAAGAACGUCCUCUUCUCAGUUCUCGCGCAUGCGCCCACAAGGAAGUAAUGGAAUAGUCAAAUAAAGUCGUUAUUUAUGUGUUUUUUUCGCACAAAAAGUAGUCUCGUCGCUUGAUAAACUUAUAGUUGAGCCGCUGUAGGCACAUGGAAUAUUUAAACAUUUUCUUUAA